UACGUAGGGUGCGAGCGUUAAUCGGAAUUACUGGGCGUAAAGCGUGCGCAGGCGGUUUUGUAAGACAGCUGUGAAAUCCCCGGGCUCAACCUGGGAACUGCGGUUGUGACUGCAAGACUGGAGUGUGGCAGAGGGGGGUGGAAUUCCACGUGUAGCAGUGAAAUGCGUAGAGAUGUGGAGGAACACCGAUGGCGAAGGCAGCCCCCUGGGUCAAC
This 215-nucleotide ribosomal RNA is filed under the name uncultured prokaryote. Its description in RNAcentral is "partial 16S ribosomal RNA". It matches the Rfam family "Bacterial small subunit ribosomal RNA", at positions 524 to 738 of the family's 1533-position model. The record is from RNAcentral.